CCCCUUCUAAAAAAAAAAAAAAAAAAAAAAAAACCUCAGAAAGCUUCUUCAGAGAGAGAAAAUAAGGGGGAGGAGCCCAGGGCCACAUACCAAGCUUUGGGACAUGCUCUCUGGGAUUGCAGAGCAUCCAGGUCUGUCUUCACCCCUAUUAGUGCACACACAUCUACUCACAUGUCUUCCCUCAGGCUAUCAGGCAGGGGGACUUCACCAGGGGUUCAUGGAUAGGCUUCAAGAGGGUCUGUGAACCCCCAGAAAUUGUGUGUGAGACUGAGUAUGUGUUCUUUUUUCCAGGAAAGGCUCCAGUGGUUCUUAGUUGAUCCAAAAAAUGUUAAGAAUUAAUCUAGAAGGCUGGGCUUGGUGGCUCAUGCCUGUAAUCCCAGCACUUUGGGAGGCCGAGGUGGGUGGAUCACUCAAGGUCAGGCAUUUGAGACCAGCCUGGCCAACAUAGUGAAACCCUGUCUCUACUAAAAAUACAAAAAUUAGCUGGGUGUGGUGGCGUGUGCCUGUAGUCUCAGCUACUUGGGAGGCUGAGACAGGAGAAUCACUUGAACCUGGGAGGUAGAAGUUGCAGUGAGCCAAGAUCCUACCACUGCACUCCAGCCUGGGCAACAGAGUGAAACUCCACCUCAAAAAAAAAAAAAAAAAAAAAAAAAAAGUUAAUCUAGGAGAUAAUGAAUGGCCUAGUACUAGAUAAUAAAUGCCCCCACAAGCUCUUGACUUCUGUCCUUGGGGAAAGCCAUUUUGUUAACCACACUAGUGAAAUUUAUGUGAUGCUUAAUGGAGAACAGAGAAGAGCUUGUUGCAAAAAAUGUGUUAAAUAUUCGUGCUGUUUCUGUAUGAGAUUAAGAAGCUUUUCCCACCUCUCACCCUUGUUUCCUAUAAGGAUAUCCAGAGAAGCCAAGCUGUUCUGUGUGUUUGGGAAUGGUCGUUUCCCGGGAAGAUGCAUUUGGAUCGAUGACUAAACCUGGCCCUUUGGGCUGUAGUGAAGCCGCAUUUUCAUGCUGGCUGGCUGUGUGCUGAGAGCGCCUCGAAUGCUCUGCGGCAUCGUGCCCUUCUGCCCUGCCUGAGGAUGUGUGGAAAAGAUGAGAGUGGAGGAGCCUUUGUGCAGCAGGAAGAGGCUAGGUUCCUCGGGUUUAAGAGAAGCGAUCUCACAGACGGGAAUAGAAGUUGUGGUGGAGGUGAUUUGGGAUAGACUGAGUUCCCUAUGCAAGUGGAUGUGAGCUCCUCAUAGAAACCAGACCUACGUGUUAGACAGUAACCUCUAACCUCACCUCCAAGCCCAAGUGUACAGCCCUGCGGGGUUACCUGGUGACUGAAUUUCCCAGAUUCACUCUAAACUCAAGGUAGUGACCCAAAUAAACUGGGAGAGGAGCGUGUCAAGGAGGAAAAGCUGUUGAAAAUCUUUCUCCUAUUUAAGAGAAAUAUAUGCCCUAGAGCUGCUCCAGCACCCUUGGUUUCUGAUUUUUUAAAUAUUGAAUAUGGAUUACAAGAAUGAAAUCAGAUGACUGCAAAAAUGUUUAUAAGCAAAUAGCCUUCUUACAUUUUGGUAUAAAGCUGUGAACUUCGUAACUUUGUAAAGCAAGAUAUAAAGCAAAUACAAGAGGAAAAUAAAGUACUUUUACUAACUGACGGUUUA
This is a non-coding RNA of Chlorocebus sabaeus (green monkey), 1636 nucleotides long. Lineage: Eukaryota; Metazoa; Chordata; Mammalia; Primates; Cercopithecidae. The record is from RefSeq and is a predicted model, not a curated record.